UGGCUUAAAAGUCUCCACUCCAUGUGACAGCAAAAUAGUUCUUAGUUUCAAAUCCGGCAAGCAAGAAGAGUGAUUGUUUCCCUCACAAACACCUCUGAAGA
Molecule: long non-coding RNA, 101 nt
Filed under: Macaca mulatta (Rhesus monkey)
Lineage: Eukaryota; Metazoa; Chordata; Mammalia; Primates; Cercopithecidae
Description: lncRNA (ENSMMUG00000059143.1)
Source: RNAcentral